UGGGGAAUUUUGCACAAUGGGGGAAACCCUGAUGCAGCGACGCCGCGUGAUUUAGAAGGCCUUCGGGUUGUAAAAAUCUUUUCUAUGGGAAGAAAAUGACAGUACCAUAGGAAUAAGGACCGGCUAAUUACGUGCCAGCAGCCGCGGUAAUACGUAAGGUCCGAGCGUUGUCCGGAAUCAUUGGGCGUAAAGGGUACGUAGGCGGGUAAGCAAGUUAGAAGUGAAAUCCUGUAGCUCAACUACAGUAAGCUUUUAAAACUGCUCAUCUUGAGAUAUGGAAGGGAAAGUGGAAUUCCUAGUGUAGCGGUGAAAUGCGCAGAUAUUAGGAGGAAUGCCGGUGGCGAAGGCGACUUUCUGGCCAUAAUCUGACGCUGAGGUACGAAAGCGUGGGUAGCAAACAGG
Molecule: ribosomal RNA, 402 nt
Filed under: Bacteroidota bacterium
Lineage: Bacteria; Pseudomonadati; Bacteroidota
Description: Bacteroidetes bacterium partial 16S ribosomal RNA
Rfam family: Bacterial small subunit ribosomal RNA
Source: RNAcentral